GAGGGUACAGCUCAGUGGUAGAGCAUGUGCUUAGCAUGCAGGAGGUCCUGGGUUCAAUCCUCACUACCUCCA
RNAcentral lists this transfer RNA (72 nucleotides) under Camelus bactrianus (Bactrian camel). It matches the Rfam family "tRNA". From Rfam's summary of the family: Transfer RNA (tRNA) molecules are approximately 80 nucleotides in length. Their secondary structure includes four short double-helical elements and three loops (D, anti-codon, and T loops). Further hydrogen bonds mediate the characteristic L-shaped molecular structure. tRNAs have two regions of fundamental functional importance: the anti-codon, which is responsible for specific mRNA codon recognition, and the 3' end, to which the tRNAs corresponding amino acid is attached (by aminoacyl-tRNA synthetases). tRNAs cope with the degeneracy of the genetic code in two manners: having more than one tRNA (with a specific anti-codon) for a particular amino acid; and 'wobble' base-pairing, i.e. permitting non-standard base-pairing at the 3rd anti-codon position. RNAcentral also lists the same sequence under 1 other name. The record is from Rfam by way of RNAcentral. Lineage: Eukaryota; Metazoa; Chordata; Mammalia; Artiodactyla; Camelidae.